GGGUGAGUAACACGUGGACAACCUGCCUCAAGGCUGGGGAUAACAUUUGGAAACAGAUGCUAAUACCGAAUAAAACUUAGUAUCGCAUGAUACCAGGUUAAAAGGCGCUACGGCGUCACCUAGAGAUGGAUCCGCGGUGCAUUAGUUAGUUGGUGGGGUAAAGGCCUACCAAGACAAUGAUGCAUAGCCGAGUUGAGAGACUGAUCGGCCACAUUGGGACUGAGACACGGCCCAAACUCCUACGGGAGGCUGCAGUAGGGAAUCUUCCACAAUGGGCGAAAGCCUGAUGGAGCAACGCCGCGUGUGUGAUGAAGGCUUUCGGGUCGUAAAGCACUGUUGUAUGGGAAGAAAAGUUAAGGUAGGGAAUGACCUUAGCCUGACGGUACCAUACCAGAAAGGGACGGCUAAAUACGUGCCAGCAGCCGCGGUAAUACGUAUGUCCCGAGCGUUAUCCGGAUUUAUUGGGCGUAAAGCGAGCGCAGACGGUUGGUUAAGUCUGAUGUGAAAGCCCGGAGCUCAACUCCGGAAAGGCAUUGGAAACUGGUUAACUUGAGUGCAGUAGAGGUAAGUGGAACUCCAUGUGUAGCGGUGGAAUGCGUAGAUAUAUGGAAGA
RNAcentral lists this ribosomal RNA (613 nucleotides) under uncultured bacterium. Its description in RNAcentral is "bacterial SSU rRNA". It matches the Rfam family "Bacterial small subunit ribosomal RNA", at positions 104 to 705 of the family's 1533-position model. The record is from RNAcentral.